Molecule: transfer RNA, 73 nt
Filed under: Canis lupus familiaris (dog)
Lineage: Eukaryota; Metazoa; Chordata; Mammalia; Carnivora; Canidae
Also listed under: 1 other name
Rfam family: tRNA
About the family: Transfer RNA (tRNA) molecules are approximately 80 nucleotides in length. Their secondary structure includes four short double-helical elements and three loops (D, anti-codon, and T loops).
Source: Rfam by way of RNAcentral
ACCUGGCUAGCUCAGUCAAUAGAGGAUGUGACUCUUAAUCUCAGGGUUGUGGGUUAGAGCCCUACGUUGGGCA